Molecule: long non-coding RNA, 617 nt
Organism: Rhododendron vialii
Lineage: Eukaryota; Viridiplantae; Streptophyta; Magnoliopsida; Ericales; Ericaceae
Exons: 2
Source: RefSeq, a predicted model, not a curated record
AUAGACGGUUCGGAUAUUCGGUGUGACGGGUUCGUGGGAGGAUAUAAGGGUAAUUGUGCGAGAGGUGCACGUGUGUGUGUGUGGGGUGGGAGCAUGGGAUUACUCCCCAUGCCAAUAAUUUCCCCAGGAGACUACUUUCUCCCAUUUCUCUUUUUCUCACUCUCUCGGCCAAACUCUCUCCUCUCCUCCGAAACUCUCUCCUCCCUUCUCUCUUCGAUCUCAACACCUUAGACCGUGAUUCCGAACGAAGUCCAAGAAUUAAAAUUGCUAUACGGAGCACGGGCUUUCCGAAUAUCCAAGAAAAAUCUUGAUCGGACCGCGUGGGAGCUCGGUUGACUUGGUCAAAGGGUCGGGUUUUGCUCAAAACCCAUGAGGUACAACACUGGGGUAGUGAUUUGAAGUGCAUGGAGUGCAUCUUUGCAUAAAAAGGGGUUCUUCAGGAGCUACCUAUAUAUUUGAAAAUCAAAUUGUAUUGUAAUGUACUGGGAUGUCUUAAUUUGAAACAUUAUAUUUGUGGACAAAAUUGAGGAUUUGGGAGCAGUAUUGUAUUUUGGGGUAUUGGCUGUACUAUUGUGAGGUUUUAUACUUCAAAUGGUAUUGUUAUUUAUGUUUAAAAA